Seriola aureovittata is the source of this 2812-nucleotide long non-coding RNA. RefSeq lists it as uncharacterized. Lineage: Eukaryota; Metazoa; Chordata; Actinopteri; Carangiformes; Carangidae. The record is from RefSeq and is a predicted model, not a curated record. The transcript is spliced from 2 exons.
GACGCCUUGUGUUGAUGAUUUGAGAAGCAUGAGUUCAACACGGAGCUUUUUCUUCUUUUCGCUGGUCAGAUCUUCUGAAAGCUCGGGGAGGCAGGAGGUGAAUCUUCAACGCUGCUUUUCUUGUGCCAAGUAAACAUGUAGAGUAGAUACUGAUAGUCCAGCCUGACCUUUUAGUUUUAUUCCUCUCUGCCGGCGACAGUCAGAGCCGGAGCUGGAGACACGAUAUCUCAUUAAUACCUCGAAGGAACUUCUUCAAAUUUGGCACAAACGUUCACUUGGACUCGAGGGUGAACCGAUUGGACUUUGGUGGCCAAAGGUCACGGUGACCUCACAGAACAGGAUUUUGGCCUUUGUGAACGCAAUAUCUCAAACUCCUCAAGGCCAGUCCCUUCAGAUUUGGGAACCGGAACCUUCACUGAUUAGAUUUCGACGGUCAAAGGUCAAAAGGUCAUCACUUUUUUAUCCACAACUCAAGACUUCACGCAGCAAUUAUGACAACAUUUUAUAUGACUCAGGACACACAGUGAUGUAACCUGAAGCUAGUCUGAGUGGCGGAGGGAUACAACUGUGAGGCGGUUACUCUAGUUUUUUUUUUACGUGGUGACGAUGAAAAUGUCUUCCACAUGCUGAGCAGGCGCCCUAAUAAAAGUUCCUGGAAAAGGAACAACAAAACCAUUAUUUUGGUCUGUUUCCAGUUUCUGUGUUAGUGGGUCACAAGUGGGAAUCGCUUCAUUUUUGAGGUUUGUGAUCUUAAAAAAAGAUGUGAGAAUAAUAAUCACCACCCGCCUGAGGAAAAGGGUGCAUGUGUGUGGCCGUUCGUUUUUUUUUCCCGAGGAGGAAUGGAGCGCAGGUGUGACAUUUCAGCUGUUAUGUAAUGUUCAGAACUUAACCUUUCUGCGGCAGAUGGACUCGCUGAGGACUCGGGGCGGUGGAUACAGAGCUGCUACUGUUCAGCUCUGCACACUGAUGCCUUCAUGGGUGUUUGAGAAAAAUUCUCCUGGCAAUAAACACACAAACAAGCCCGAGGAGCACGCACCGCCGCGAUACUGCAGACCCUCAAGUCAGCGGAGACGGGAAAUAUGUCACGGGGGGGGGGGCUAUUAAUCACAGCGAUGUCCUGGCUGGCUCGACAUCACAAGACACCUCAAGGUUCAGGCUGUAGUGGGUUAGAGAGGAACACAUCUUUAUUUCUUUGGUUGUUUGUUCACAGGAACUACUUUUUCCACAUGUACAUGUUUCAAAAACUUGGUGGAGGGAUGAGAGAAGACGUCAUUACAUUUUGGGGCAGAUCUGGAUCAUUUACUGUGAAUUUGAAUAUUUUUCUCUGAAGUCCGCUGUAGGCUACGUAUAUUGUUUGACUCUGGCCUCAGCGAGGGUCCGGCUCACCUGAGUGCUCUUCUUUCAUUUAAUAGGAUUUUUGCAAAUUAUCCUUCUAAAUUUAAAGGCUCUGCACACAUUGUGGUUCACCUGCACAGUUCAGCUGCACCUGGAGUCUGACUCUCCAGAUGUGGGCAGCCGUCUAUUCUAGGAAGCGUUCUCCUUUCUCGUUUCUCGUUUCACAUUUCAAAAUCCCCCUUGACGGCAACAGUCUCCGAGCUGCGACCUACACGCUGACAAUGGCGAGUUUUGAUAAAGAUUUGGAUUCGUGCAAUCCCACAGUUGACAUUAAGUCCUCGCUGUUGUUUGUGGUGUUUUCUUCGUUUCUUUGGAAUCAGCCGUUUAUGCUUAUGAGAUGGCAAAGCACGGAAUAAACCGGACUUCCUGUUAGGUCUGACCUGCACCUGAAACAGCUUCACCUCUUUGCAUCAUCACUAUUAGCUGUAGUUAGAAAAGUCGAAAACACCCGGAGGCUCCUCUGGUCGGUAACUCCUCAUUCCCCCACGUCCACUGACACAUCUGCUUCCUGCAGGGCGCACUGCAGAGGCCUAAUUCCAUUUUAAUUUCCUCCCAGACCUACAAGUGUGCAUGCCAUGUCUGCAUUAAAGCCCGCAAGAUUAUUUUUUUUCCAAUUUAAACAUUGUGUAGUUGGCUUUGUUUUCAUUUCAUAGUACAAGGUAAACACUUAACGCGGUGAUUAUGUUUUCCUCUGAAAGAGCUGAUCCACAGUUUGCUGCGAGUUACUUCAGAGGGUCAUUUAGAGUCCGUGCACAGGGACCUGCGCAUGUUUUCAUGCAAAAUCAAUUAGUGUAUGAUUUAAACUGUUGGAGGAUGCACUGAUGAGCAUGAUAGUUUUUGCCUCCAUGUUGAGCUGCUGGAUCGUUUUUCUGCUCCAGUUUCUCUCUGACGCAGGUUCAGAUGAUUCAUUUUUAGUUAUUUUAUAUUAUGUUUUUAUUGUUUGCUGUCCCUGAAUCUGAUAUUCCUUAUGGAGCAGAGGAAUUUUAGCUACACACAACAUUUAAGUGGAUUAUUGUUUCAGAGAUUAUUAUUUUAGCAGCAUAAACAGAGCUUCUGCUGAUAUGAAAGCGUCAUCUCUUAGCUGCAUUUCUGUCACUUUUCUUUUUUAUUCCUUUCUUGAUGACAUAACAAAAACAGGUGUGACAUGAAUGGUACAUGGGACAUAAUGGACAGACAUGUAGAGGACAACAAAAACAAGAACAUGAUGUGUGAGUGUGUGUGUGCUUUGAUGUUGAUAUUAUUAAUUGUUGUUAAUAUUAUAUUAUAUUGAAAUGAUUCUAUAUAUAAGUAAUACAUAUUGUCAUAAUAUCACUGCAGUAUUAUCAUGUUAUUUUACAUUAUUUUAUAUUAUAUCCUUGUUACAUUGACAGGAUUUCAAAUGAAUUGUUAUUAUUAUAUAUCUUUAUUAUUAUUACUA